Molecule: ribosomal RNA, 1340 nt
Filed under: uncultured bacterium
Lineage: Bacteria
Description: bacterial SSU rRNA
Rfam family: Bacterial small subunit ribosomal RNA
Source: RNAcentral
GACGAACGCUGGCGGCGUGCUUAACACAUGCAAGUCGAACGGUGAUGCAGGGCUUGCUCUGCGGAUCAGUGGCGAACGGGUGAGUAACACGUGAGUAACCUGCCCUUGACUCUGGGAUAAGCGUUGGAAACGACGUCUAAUACUGGAUAUGACUUAUGGACGCAUGUCUGUGGGUGGAAAGAUUUUUCGGUUGGGGAUGGACUCGCGGCCUAUCAGCUUGUUGGUGAGGUAAUGGCUCACCAAGGCGACGACGGGUAGCCGGCCUGAGAGGGUGACCGGCCACACUGGGACUGAGACACGGCCCAGACUCCUACGGGAGGCAGCAGUGGGGAAUAUUGCACAAUGGGCGCAAGCCUGAUGCAGCAACGCCGCGUGAGGGACGACGGCCUUCGGGUUGUAAACCUCUUUUGGCAGGGAAGAAGCGGAAGUGACGGUACCUGCAGAAAAAGCACCGGCUAACUACGUGCCAGCAGCCGCGGUAAUACGUAGGGUGCAAGCGUUGUCCGGAAUUAUUGGGCGUAAAGAGCUCGUAGGCGGUUUGUCGCGUCUGCUGUGAAAACGCGAGGCUCAACCUCGCGCCUGCAGUGGGUACGGGCAGACUAGAGUGUGGUAGGGGAGAUUGGAAUUCCUGGUGUAGCGGUGGAAUGCGCAGAUAUCAGGAGGAACACCGAUGGCGAAGGCAGAUCUCUGGGCCAUUACUGACGCUGAGGAGCGAAAGCGUGGGGAGCGAACAGGAUUAGAUACCCUGGUAGUCCACGCCGUAAACGUUGGGAACUAGAUGUGGGGGCCAUUCCACGGUCUCCGUGUCGCAGCUAACGCAUUAAGUUCCCCGCCUGGGGAGUACGGCCGCAAGGCUAAAACUCAAAGGAAUUGACGGGGGCCCGCACAAGCGGCGGAGCAUGCGGAUUAAUUCGAUGCAACGCGAAGAACCUUACCAAGGCUUGACAUGCACCUGAAAAGGCUGGAAACAGUCUCCUCGCAAGACAGGUGCACAGGUGGUGCAUGGUUGUCGUCAGCUCGUGUCGUGAGAUGUUGGGUUAAGUCCCGCAACGAGCGCAACCCUCGUUCUAUGUUGCCAGCGCGUUAUGGCGGGAACUCAUAGGAGACUGCCGGGGUCAACUCGGAGGAAGGUGGGGAUGACGUCAAAUCAUCAUGCCCCUUAUGUCUUGGGCUUCACGCAUGCUACAAUGGCCGGUACAAAGGGCUGCGAUACCGUAAGGUGGAGCGAAUCCCAAAAAGCCGGUCUCAGUUCGGAUUGAGGUCUGCAACUCGACCUCAUGAAGUCGGAGUCGCUAGUAAUCGCAGAUCAGCAACGCUGCGGUGAAUACGUUCCCGGGCCU